Molecule: ribosomal RNA, 253 nt
Filed under: uncultured bacterium
Lineage: Bacteria
Description: partial 16S ribosomal RNA
Rfam family: Bacterial small subunit ribosomal RNA
Source: RNAcentral
UACGUAGGGUGCAAGCGUUGUCCGGAAUCAUUGGGCGUAAAGCGCGCGUAGGUGGUCAUGUAAGUCCGCUGUGAAAGUCAAAGGCUCAACCUUUGAAAGCCGGUGGAUACUGCAUGACUAGAGUACGGAAGAGGCGAGUGGAAUUCCCGGUGUAGCGGUGAAAUGCGCAGAUAUCGGGAGGAACACCUAUGGCGAAGGCAGCUCGCUGGGACGUUACUGACGCUGAGACGCGAAAGCGUGGGGAGCAAACAGG